This 1439-nucleotide ribosomal RNA is filed under the name Klebsiella pneumoniae. RNAcentral describes it as "bacterial SSU rRNA". It matches the Rfam family "Bacterial small subunit ribosomal RNA". Lineage: Bacteria; Pseudomonadati; Pseudomonadota; Gammaproteobacteria; Enterobacterales; Enterobacteriaceae. The record is from RNAcentral.
GGCAUGGGGGAGCUACACAUGCAGUCGAGCGGUAGCACAGAGAGCUUGCUCUCGGGUGACGAGCGGCGGACGGGUGAGUAAUGUCUGGGAAACUGCCUGAUGGAGGGGGAUAACUACUGGAAACGGUAGCUAAUACCGCAUAACGUCGCAAGACCAAAGUGGGGGACCUUCGGGCCUCAUGCCAUCAGAUGUGCCCAGAUGGGAUUAGCUAGUAGGUGGGGUAACGGCUCACCUAGGCGACGAUCCCUAGCUGGUCUGAGAGGAUGACCAGCCACACUGGAACUGAGACACGGUCCAGACUCCUACGGGAGGCAGCAGUGGGGAAUAUUGCACAAUGGGCGCAAGCCUGAUGCAGCCAUGCCGCGUGUGUGAAGAAGGCCUUCGGGUUGUAAAGCACUUUCAGCGGGGAGGAAGGCGGUAAGGUUAAUAACCUUGUCGAUUGACGUUACCCGCAGAAGAAGCACCGGCUAACUCCGUGCCAGCAGCCGCGGUAAUACGGAGGGUGCAAGCGUUAAUCGGAAUUACUGGGCGUAAAGCGCACGCAGGCGGUCUGUCAAGUCGGAUGUGAAAUCCCCGGGCUCAACCUGGGAACUGCAUUCGAAACUGGCAGGCUAGAGUCUUGUAGAGGGGGGUAGAAUUCCAGGUGUAGCGGUGAAAUGCGUAGAGAUCUGGAGGAAUACCGGUGGCGAAGGCGGCCCCCUGGACAAAGACUGACGCUCAGGUGCGAAAGCGUGGGGAGCAAACAGGAUUAGAUACCCUGGUAGUCCACGCCGUAAACGAUGUCGAUUUGGAGGUUGUGCCCUUGAGGCGUGGCUUCCGGAGCUAACGCGUUAAAUCGACCGCCUGGGGAGUACGGCCGCAAGGUUAAAACUCAAAUGAAUUGACGGGGGCCCGCACAAGCGGUGGAGCAUGUGGUUUAAUUCGAUGCAACGCGAAGAACCUUACCUGGUCUUGACAUCCACAGAACUUUCCAGAGAUGGAUUGGUGCCUUCGGGAACUGUGAGACAGGUGCUGCAUGGCUGUCGUCAGCUCGUGUUGUGAAAUGUUGGGUUAAGUCCCGCAACGAGCGCAACCCUUAUCCUUUGUUGCCAGCGGUUAGGCCGGGAACUCAAAGGAGACUGCCAGUGAUAAACUGGAGGAAGGUGGGGAUGACGUCAAGUCAUCAUGGCCCUUACGACCAGGGCUACACACGUGCUACAAUGGCAUAUACAAAGAGAAGCGACCUCGCGAGAGCAAGCGGACCUCAUAAAGUAUGUCGUAGUCCGGAUUGGAGUCUGCAACUCGACUCCAUGAAGUCGGAAUCGCUAGUAAUCGUAGAUCAGAAUGCUACGGUGAAUACGUUCCCGGGCCUUGUACACACCGCCCGUCACACCAUGGGAGUGGGUUGCAAAAGAAGUAGGUAGCUUAACCUUCGGGAGGGCGCUACCACUUGAUUCGGC